AAGUCGUAACAAGGUUUCCGUAGGUGAACCUGCGGAAGGAUCAUUACAGAGAAUAGGGUCCUCCGGGGCCCGACCCUCCCAUCCCGUGUAUACUGUCCCGGUUGCUUCGGCGGGCCUACCGCCCGUCAGAGGCCCUACCUCAUCCGCGUUUUGGUGUCGUCUGAGUGGUUAUACAAUAUCCAAAA
RNAcentral lists this unclassified non-coding RNA (185 nucleotides) under plant metagenome. Its description in RNAcentral is "partial contains small subunit ribosomal RNA and internal transcribed spacer 1". The stretch from base 1 to 46 matches the Rfam family "Eukaryotic small subunit ribosomal RNA", at positions 1786 to 1831 of the family's 1831-position model. The record is from RNAcentral.